GGACUCGUCUUGGUCGCGUUGAC
Molecule: non-coding RNA, 23 nt
Filed under: Arabidopsis thaliana (thale cress)
Lineage: Eukaryota; Viridiplantae; Streptophyta; Magnoliopsida; Brassicales; Brassicaceae
Source: RNAcentral